GAUGAACGCUGGCGGCGUGCCUAAUACAUGCAAGUCGAGCGAACAGACAAGGAGCUUGCUCCUCUGACGUUAGCGGCGGACGGGUGAGUAACACGUAGAUAACCUACCUAUAAUACUGGGAUAACUUCGGGAAACCGGUGCUAAUACUGGAUAAUAUAUUGAACCGCAUGGUUCAAUAGAGCUACACGGUUUUCCUGUCUCUUUUAGAUGGAUUCGUGCCGGAUUAGCUAGUUGGUAAGGUAACGGCUUACCAAGGCGACGAUGCGUAGCUGACCUGAGAGGGUGAUCAGCCACACUGGAACUGAGACACGGUCCAGACUCCUACGGGAGGCAGCAGUAGGGAAUAUUGGGCAAUGGGCGAAAGCCUGACGGAGCCACACCGCGUGGGUGAUGAAGGUCUUCGGAUCGUAAAACUCUUUUGUUGGGGAAGAAAAAAAGUGGAAGUAACUAUGGACGUUCUGACGGUACCUAAAGAGAAAGCCACGGCUAACUACGUG
This 497-nucleotide ribosomal RNA is filed under the name uncultured bacterium. RNAcentral describes it as "partial 16S ribosomal RNA". It matches the Rfam family "Bacterial small subunit ribosomal RNA", at positions 28 to 507 of the family's 1533-position model. The record is from RNAcentral.